UACAGAGGGGGCAAGCGUUAUUCGGAAUUAUUGGGCGUAAAGGGCGCGUAGGCGGCUUUUUAAGUCAGGGGUGAAAUCCUGGAGCUCAACUCCAGAACUGCCUUUGAUACUGGGAAGCUCGAGUCCGGGAGAGGUGAGUGGAACUCCGAGUGUAGAGGUGAAAUUCGUAGAUAUUCGGAAGAACACCAGUGGCGAAGGCGGCUCACUGGCCCGGUACUGACGCUGAGGUGCGAAAGCGUGGGGAGCAAACAGG
This 253-nucleotide ribosomal RNA is filed under the name uncultured bacterium. RNAcentral's name for it is "partial 16S ribosomal RNA". It matches the Rfam family "Bacterial small subunit ribosomal RNA", at positions 524 to 776 of the family's 1533-position model. The record is from RNAcentral.